CAGUGGAAGAAGACAAAAGGAAUUGGCAAGAAAAGGGGCAUAUACAUACAUACAUACAUACGUUAACUCCAAAUCAAAGUGAGCGUAUUAAUUUCAUUUCAUAGCAUCAUAACGGGUGAUUUUUUUGAGGUUAGGAUUUUCAUGCAUUAGUAUUUGACAGAUCACGUGGGAUUUCAGACAUGGUGUCAAAG
This is a long non-coding RNA of Bactrocera dorsalis (oriental fruit fly), 191 nucleotides long. RefSeq lists it as uncharacterized. The record is from RefSeq and is a predicted model, not a curated record. The transcript has 2 exons. NCBI's taxonomy places the organism in Eukaryota, Metazoa, Arthropoda, Insecta, Diptera, Tephritidae.